Molecule: ribosomal RNA, 253 nt
Filed under: uncultured bacterium
Lineage: Bacteria
Description: partial 16S ribosomal RNA
Rfam family: Bacterial small subunit ribosomal RNA
Source: RNAcentral
UACAGAGGGUGCAAGCGUUAAUCGGAAUUACUGGGCGUAAAGCGUGCGUAGACGGUUAUGUAAGUCAGAUGUGAAAGCCCCGGGCUCAACCUGGGAAUUGCAUUCGAGACUGCAUAGCUAGGGUGCGGAAGAGGGAAGCGGAAUUUCCGGUGUAGCGGUGAAAUGCGUAGAUAUCGGAAGGAACACCAGUGGCGAAAGCGGCUUCCUGGUCCAGCACCGACGUUCAGGCACGAAAGCGUGGGGAGCAAACAGG